CCCAGACUCCUACGGGAGGCAGCAGUGGGGAAUAUUGCACAAUGGGGGAAACCCUGAUGCAGCGACGCCGCGUGAGCGAAGAAGUAUUUCGGUAUGUAAAGCUCUAUCAGCAGGGAAGAAAAAAUGACGGUACCUGACUAAGAAGCACCGGCUAAAUAUGUGCCAGCAGCCGCGGUAAUACGUAUGGUGCAAGCGUUAUCCGGAUUUACUGGGUGUAAAGGGAGCGCAGGCGGUACGGCAAGUCUGAUGUGAAAGCCCGGGGCUCAACCCCGGUACUGCAUUGGAAACUGUCGGGCUAGAGUGUCGGAGGGGUAAGUGGAAUUCCUAGUGUAGCGGUGAAAUGCGUAGAUAUUAGGAGGAACACCAGUGGCGAAGGCGGCUUACUGGACGAUUACUGACGCUGAGGCUCGAAAGCGUGGGGAGCAAACAGGAUUAGAUACCCGAGUAU
This 448-nucleotide ribosomal RNA is filed under the name uncultured bacterium. RNAcentral's name for it is "bacterial SSU rRNA". It matches the Rfam family "Bacterial small subunit ribosomal RNA", at positions 330 to 793 of the family's 1533-position model. The record is from RNAcentral.